This 484-nucleotide ribosomal RNA is filed under the name uncultured bacterium. RNAcentral describes it as "partial 16S ribosomal RNA". It matches the Rfam family "Bacterial small subunit ribosomal RNA", at positions 30 to 507 of the family's 1533-position model. The record is from RNAcentral.
AUUGAACGCUGGCGGAAUGCUUUACACAUGCAAGUCGAGCGGCAGCACGGGGGCAACCCUGGUGGCGAGCGGCGAACGGGUGAGUAAUACAUCGGAACAUGCCCAGUCGUGGGGGAUAACACUUCGAAAGAAGUGCUAAUACCGCAUACGUCCUGAGGGGGAAAGCGGGGGAUCGCAAGACCUCGCGCGAUUGGAGUGGCCGAUGUCAGAUUAGCUAGUUGGUGGGGUAAAGGCCUACCAAGGCAACGAUCUGUAGCUGGUCUGAGAGGAUGAUCAGCCACACUGGGACUGAGACACGGCCCAGACUCCUACGGGAGGCAGCAGUGGGGAAUUUUGGACAAUGGGGGCAACCCUGAUCCGGCCAUUCCGCGUGAGUGAAGAAGGCCUUCGGGUUGUAAAGCUCUUUCGGCAGGAACGAAACGGUGAGCUCUAACAUAGCUUGCUAAUGACGGUACCUGAAGAAGAAGCACCGGCUAACUACGUG